Molecule: long non-coding RNA, 2109 nt
Filed under: Patiria miniata (bat star)
Lineage: Eukaryota; Metazoa; Echinodermata; Asteroidea; Valvatida; Asterinidae
Description: uncharacterized LOC119744281
Source: RNAcentral
UUUUCUCUUAGUUCAGGGGAUCUGCUAUAUCCUUCUGAAAACUUAUUAAGGCUAUGGGAUCUCCUAUAUCCCUAUGCCGUUAGGGCUUAGGGAGGUGCGGCGGUUUCGAUUGCUAAUUGGGGUCUGACUGGGUGCUCCAAUUGAGGUGCGGCGAAAAUCCAGCACAGAUUCAAGGGGCGAGUUGCGUCCGCGUGGUAGGUCCGCCUUCCACGUGGGGCGUGGGUCCUACGCAGCGGCCUGGAAACCCUAGGAUGCCGUGCCAUAAAGGAGCAGGUAGUGCGUCCCUCUUUAUAGGGGCGUGGCCCUGUAUUCACAGCCGGCAAACGCUGCUACUUCCUAUCAGACCGCAUGAACCCGUAAGGGGGAUGGACUUAGGGGGGCGUGCAUAUAGGUUAGGGUGCUUUCCUGGUCCUUCGGGGCUGGGCGGGCGGACCGGACAGUCGAUAACUGUGUCUGGCCCUCCGGGGCCUACCUUUUAUCCAGCAAUGGGCCUUACGAUACUGAAAGCGCGUUGGGGCUGGUAUCCUGGGACCUUCUCGUGGUGGCCCUGUUUAAACAGACCUUACCAGGAUAUUUGACCUGCUCAGUGAACAUGAAUCACAAUGUUACUCAAUUGUGUUCUCCUGCAGUUGUUUGAAUGAGCUGAGCAGUAAAUAGUUACACAGUAUUAUGUUGCUUUAAAGCUGACACAUUAAUGUUGAUAUAUAAGAAAGUUUCUGCAGCAUUGGAAUAAUGUUCACUGAGCAGGUCAUAUUUGUUUACGCUUUCUGUUGUAAUUCUGCUUGAAUGUUCAGAAUUGAUGAGGUUGUCGAGAGAAAACUGUUGAUUGAAGUUUGUAAUGAUAGCGAGUUCUAUUGAUUAAAGUCAAAUUUUGCAGGAAGCAAAAUGCUAAAAUAUCUUCAUCCAGAAAUGAAUCAUUCAUAAUUUAAACUGAUAACAGUUUGAAUCUAGUAUAAAGAGUGCAUCUGGAAAUUGUCCUGGUCAUAUAAAGAAAAAAGAACAAAAAGCUGCAGAAUUUGACGGGGGAUUCUGAACAACCAUAGACAACAGCUUUUGAUGUCUGACAGGAUUUUUGUUUUUAUUCAUGUCACACUCUACAGAAAUCCAAAGAAGACAACCAACACCCAGACCAAUCAACGAUCUCAUCUGAGCAGCCCACCGGACAGACUAGGAGCCCAGUAGAGCAGAUGGAUAGGAGUUUGAUUUGCAGAAUUGAUCAGUUCAGCGAUGUUGCCAGGCACUACCAGGCAUGUUAGCUGUGGAGCACACACUGCAUGAUGCCUACAUUGAUGUGGUAUCGUCAUGGCAACGCCAAGCAAGGACUGCAUCUUUGGAAACCUAGUGCAUGUAAAUGAGAUAAGAAAUAACCAUUGCAGUGAAAUCUGACACUGAAUAAUUCAUAGUUUGUUUUGGAAAAAGAAAUACAUUGUAUUUACAGAAAUAAAUUUAGAAUUGUUUUGCUGAGUAUAACCCAAAAGUUUUAUGCCCAUGGUAUUUCUUGUGAAUAGAAUCUUCCAAGAGAGUGCUUGAAUGCUAUGUAGGCAUGUUUCCUGCAAUUUUGAAGCAUUUUAUAUUCUUCCAAAAUUUGGAGAAAAAAAACAAGGGGUUAACCCUAAACAUUAAUUCAAAUUGUGUAACUUUUCAAUUCAAACUAGUUCUACAAACAAACAAACACUUUUGGAUGCAAUAUUAACACAUUUUGAUGUGCUUGAGAUGAUGAUUUUAAUGCAUCAGGUAUAAAUAAGUAUCAUGGAAAGACCAGUAUAAAUUUUUAUGCCAUAUCUUACUGUAGUUGGCACUCUCGCAAGAUAAGAUUUGGGAAUGUGUUUAAACGUUUCUAGUGCAUUGCACAUCGUUUGAAUUUCAGGUGUUUCUGGGGUUUUUUGCCCAAAAUGGACUUGUUUGCAUGUAACUUGGAAACACCAGUGGAUGCGAAAACAGUUUAAAAUUUCCCCAAGUAAAUCAUUUCAGUUUAUUAUUGGCCCAAAGCAUAUUUAAGUACUUUUACUGUUUUGUACUUUGUAAGUUUGUCCUAAAUUGGUGCAGACUAGUAAAUUAUUUGUUAAUUAUUGAAAAGAGGGUUUCAAUAAACUUGCCAUUAAUCUGAGA